CCGCGGGCAGCAUGGCGGCGGCGCACGCGCGGCUGCCGGGGUGAGGGCGCUCCCUGAGGAGAAGCCGGGUGGAGGCGGGGAGGUGGCGGCGGGGCUGUGAGAAACACUCCGGAGCCGAUAAUUGAGGCUCAGAGAUGAAAGCAACCAAAACUACACCUUGCAUGCUGGUGAGCCACCAUUUGCGACGAGGAGGACUGAGGGACCUGCAGAGGUCACCAUUUCUCCACCGAGGCUUUCCCCUCUCAGUGAGGAAACUCCAGCUGCGGUUACUGCCUUCUGCUGAAACUGCAUGUGCUGCAGCCGAGUUAUUUCUAUCAGUUUCCUGCAAUAUUCUAAGAAGUUCCACCAGCAUAAAUAAGUGGAAAAGAAGAUGCGAAGAAGGAAGGAAAAGGUGGCUGCUCAGGCUGGCACUGACGUGAAAAAAAAUGCUUAUGUGCAUCAAAGCUGAGCACCCUGAGGCCUGGAGGCUGACCUGUCCCUGCUUGCCUGGCAGCAGCAGCCCUUGCAACAGUGGUGGCCAACCCUCAGUUACUGCAGUCCACAAACCAGCAGUGUGCCCGGUGCUCUGAGAAAUGGAGAGCUGUGCAAAGUUCCCCUCCCGUGGAGCUUACAGCCAGAAAAAUCCUCUGUGCACAACCCAGGCUGGCAGAAUGGCAGCUCAUCCGCAGUGGGAGCCCAAAGAGUGCAGUGGGUUUGAAGGGAGCACAACUAGAAAGACAUUCCAAAACUGGCUGCGUGGUAUUUAGAGAUCUGGGUACCAGCUGUAACGUGCACAUAUUUGCAGAGACUUCUGUUCAGCCAAGAAUGGGCUGUGGGCUCAGGAUGCUUCAUCGAAGUGGUGGCUCAGAAGUAGACUGGCUGUUCAGUCUCCAGUGAAGCAGAUGAGAAGUGCAAUCGGUCUCCGCCAGAAGAACCAGGUACCCUUCGAUCUCUGAGUCCUCUAAUGAUCUUGCAAUGACACUGGGCCAAGGAAGAGUUUGUCUCUUCUUUCUUGUCACUGGGCACCCAGCACUAGGAUUGUUUUUCAGAAGUUGGGGCUACGUGUGAGUUGCGUUCCUGACAGCCCAGAGAUACCUGCUACUGUGAUGGAGAAGUGGAACUGACCUGAACGUGGGGCAGAUUUGAAUAAACCCUUUCACCUGUCCAGCAGUGCAGAAUUGUUCUUUGCCUUUUGUUUGCUCUGGCUGUGCUCAGGCUAAUCACAACCAACAAAACUUCAGCUGUUUGGGCAAGCGUAUCACAAGCCAGUGCACCUCAGCCUUAGGAAAUUUAUCUUGCUGUUCAAGACAAUUCCUCAAACUCCUUGACAUUUACUCCUAUGGGUAUUUGUAGACUGUUAUGUCUGCCCUUACUUGUUGUUUAACCUAGCAAUAAGCAUUUAGCUCUGUCCUCAUAAAUCAUUUCCCUUCAGCUCUCUGGCUAGAAUGACUGCGUGUGCUCCUAACUAUGAAAAACCCAGGCUAAGCCCACCCUUUAAAUGUCUGCUCCCCGCUGGGCUUGAUUGGUGGCACAAAAUCAAUGUUCAAGCCAUGAUUUCAUUCCUGGCUCACUGCACGAUCCUUUGCUGAUUACACUGACCUAAAGAUCCAUAUCCACAAUUCACCAGAUUUCUUUCCUGUGUCCUCCUGCAUCCUCUUAAGACUUGUUCCACCUCUUCUUCCAACUUUAAAACUACCAGUUUUGGGUCUCUCUACUUUUUUUUUUUUUUUUUUUUUUUUGGUAGUGGUCACAACCACAGACAUGAGAAGGCCCAGAGAGAUCUCUCACCUCGCAUACAACAUCAUCCCAUCAGUACAGGGUAUCCAACCAUCCUGUGUGAAGUAGAGCGUUCUCUUUCUGGCUGGUAAAAUUUUGGAAAUUGCAAAAUUAUCUUGCAGGCAAGAGAUGGGAUGUGACAGAAGAUAUUUCCCUUCCUAAAAGCUCAGAAAAUUUAGAUAAGCCUCAAGCCCCUUCUCUCUUUCUAUCCUACUUGCACAUUCAUUUUAACUUCCCCAUUCUCACCACAUUUGUUGCUGUGUUAAAUGUGGCUGAUUACUGCAGGGCGUUUUCCUUCAGGACCCUUCUGUCUCCAAGGUGGAAGAAUUGUCCAUUUGACUCCUAGCAGAAGAAGAGUUUGGUUCUAAGUUUGGGAUGACUGGUCCAAAAGCUACUUCUGUUUCACCCCUGAGCUACAGACCUGCUCUUUAAAACUCUGAACACUUAUUUUGAUUUUUCUGAAGGCAGAAUUGUCUUCAGACAUGAGCAAGAGAGUCCUAUGUAAGCAUUAAUUAAGUUAAAUUGUGUCUGGGGAGUUUAGUCUUGUUUAAUGGCUUUGUUCGGUUAUUCUACCUGUUCAUUAUCUUUACAUAAACAUUAAAAUCCUACAAUCAUUACAUUUACUCCUCUAAAAUAAAGGAGAUUCUUAUAACAAACUUAACUCUGCAUGCUUUCUUUGUUUCCAUGUGAGUACACACAUGCACAUUUUAUUUUAUUGAAUAACUGCUUUA
Anas platyrhynchos (mallard) is the source of this 2486-nucleotide long non-coding RNA. RefSeq lists it as uncharacterized. The record is from RefSeq and is a predicted model, not a curated record. Lineage: Eukaryota; Metazoa; Chordata; Aves; Anseriformes; Anatidae.